ACGCUGGCGGCAGGCCUAACACAUGCAAGUCGAGCGGUAGCACAGGAGAGCUUGCUCUCUGGGUGACGAGCGGCGGACGGGUGAGUAAUGUCUGGGAAACUGCCUGAUGGAGGGGGAUAACUACUGGAAACGGUAGCUAAUACCGCAUGACCUCGCAAGAGCAAAGUGGGGGACCUUCGGGCCUCACGCCAUCGGAUGUGCCCAGAUGGGAUUAGCUAGUAGGUGGGGUAAUGGCUCACCUAGGCGACGAUCCCUAGCUGGUCUGAGAGGAUGACCAGCCACACUGGAACUGAGACACGGUCCAGACUCCUACGGGAGGCAGCAGUGGGGAAUAUUGCACAAUGGGCGCAAGCCUGAUGCAGCCAUGCCGCGUGUGUGAAGAAGGCCUUAGGGUUGUAAAGCACUUUCAGCGAGGAGGAAGGCGCUGUAGUUAAUAGCUGCAGCGAUUGACGUUACUCGCAGAAGAAGCACCGGCUAACUCCGUGCCAGCAGCCGCGGUAAUACGGAGGGUGCAAGCGUUAAUCGGAAUUACUGGGCGUAAAGCGCACGCAGGCGGUUUGUUAAGUCAGAUGUGAAAUCCCCGAGCUUAACUUGGGAACUGCAUUUGAAACUGGCAAGCUAGAGUCUUGUAGAGGGGGGUAGAAUUCCAGGUGUAGCGGUGAAAUGCGUAGAGAUCUGGAGGAAUACCGGUGGCGAAGGCGGCCCCCUGGACAAAGACUGACGCUCAGGUGCGAAAGCGUGGGGAGCAAAC
This 751-nucleotide ribosomal RNA is filed under the name uncultured bacterium. RNAcentral's name for it is "bacterial SSU rRNA". It matches the Rfam family "Bacterial small subunit ribosomal RNA", at positions 33 to 773 of the family's 1533-position model. The record is from RNAcentral.